GCAGCUGGCUAAGCGCUAGCCCGGCCUGUGGCGAGUCUGCAGAGCUCGCCCGGAAGUAGCGUUGCGCGCGCAGAGGAUGGGCGCUGAGCAGCACACAGCCCGCGGCGGGGUCUCAGGAUCCGCGGCGCUGCCCGGGGCCGGGGGAAGGAAGCCAGCCGAGGAGACGCACGUGCCCUGAGUCCGGGAGCGGGGAGCCUCUUCAUCUCUCCAUCCUCCCUCCGCGCGCGCCCUCAGCCGUCCUCGUCCGCUCACCAUGCACCUCCCCUCCAAGAAAGGGCCACAUGCGUGCCAGGGACGCGAGCCCCGGCCACAGGGACAUAGCAGCCUAGAAGCAGGAGGGCAGCGUUCGUGGCUUAGAAAGACCAGUCUGCUGCCGGUGAAGAGCAGGGUGCUUCAGAGUGGCUCCCAGAGAGAAAGGGGCAGCACACUCUUCCACAUGCCCAUUGUGCUCCCCAGGAGAAUGUGUGGCAGAGACUGAGGCUGGCCACAGGAAUUACACAUACAGUGUAAAAUUUGCAAAGCAAGAAGUAUAGCUGUGCUCAAAAAUAGGUCGAAGCCGGGCGCCGUGGCUCAUGCCUAUAAUCCCGGCACUUUGGGAGGCCAAGGCAGACGGAUUUCUUGAGGUUAGGAAUUUGAGACCAGCCUGGCCAGCAUGGUGAAGCCCCAUCUCUACUAAAAUUCAAAAAAUAAAAACAAAAACAAAAACAAAACUGGUGGCUGGGCGUGGUUGCUCACGCCUGUAAUCCCAGCACUUUGGGAGGCCGAUGCAGGUGGAUCACUUGAGGUCAGGAGUCCGAGACUAUCCUGACCAACCUGGUGAAACCCCGUCUCUAAUAAAAAUACAAAAAUAAGCCAGGCAUGGUGGCAGGCGCCUGUAAUCCCAGCUACUUGGGAGGCUGAGGCAGGAUAAUCGCUCAAACCCGGGAGGUGAAGGUUGCAGUGAGCUGAGAUCGCGCCAUUGCACUCCAGCCUGGGAGACACAGCGGGACUCUAUCAAAAAAACAAAACAAAACAAAACAAAAGUGAUAUCUCUGUGAGCCAGAAAUGAAGAGAAAUGCAAAGUGCUGAGUGGGCCUGCAACUGCAAAGCUGCUGGGCCUGGGUCACCCACGCUUGUAAAAGAAGCACGCAGCCAGGGGCGCACCAGUGGUCCCAGCUACUUGGGGAGGCCGAGGUGGGAGGAAUCACUUGAGCCCAGGAGUGCAAGACCAGCUGGAGCAACAUGGUGUGAACCUGUCUCAAAAAAAUAAAAAUAAAGAAAAAUUUUAAAAACCCAUGCAGCCAAAGAGGGAUGUCCAGACAGCCUUAUGUCCAGGACCUGAGCAAACCAGUCCCUGACUUAGAGUGCAGAUGGGACCUGGGGCAUUUGCACCACCACGCAGGGCUGUAGGACUCAAUACAACACGUGUGACGGAGAUGUAGCUGUCCACCCAGCGCCCCCACCCUCCUCGGUACUAAGUGGACAUGUGGGUGUCCAGCUCUACUACAUUUCCCAGCUUCCCUUGGAGUUGGGAGCUGCCAUGUGGCCAGGUUCUCGCCCAUGGAACAUGAGGGGAGGUGACAUGCAUGGCUUCUGAGCCUGGACCAUCAUUCCUCCCCGGGGCUGCCUCCUACCGUGGACCAGCUUCCUAGGCUGCUGCAACACAUUAUGACAGACUCAGUGCCUCAAAACAAUGCAAAUAUAUGCUCUUCAGCUCUGGAAGCCAGAGUCUGAAAUCAGUUUCAUGGGCUAAAGUCAAGGUGUCAGUGGGGCUUGUUCCUUUUGGAGACUCUAGGGGAGGAACCAUCUGUGGCCUUUCUAGCUUCUUGCAUCCCUCAGACCCAUGCAUUCAUCUUCACACCUGUUUUCUCUCUGUACGGAUAUGUCUCUUUGCCUCCCUAUUACAAGAACAUUUGGGAUCCCAUUUCAGACCCACCCAGAAUAUCCUCCCAUCUCAAGAUCCUUAAUGUCAUGACAUCUGCUAACUCCUUUUUGCCAUGUAAAGCAACAUCACAUGUUCUGACUAUUAGGAUGCAGACAUAUUUGGAGGCCAUUAUUCAGCCUACUACAGGUGACAGGUACAACCUUGGAAGCCCUGUUUUGAGGAUGGCAGAGCCCACCAGCCUGCAUCCCUCCAAGACUGCGUGGAACAGAUCUUCCUUACUAUCCCUUUCUCCUCCUCUGCCUGACCUGGACAUACACCCUGCCCUGUUACGUGAAAGCAAAAGAAAAUCCUGUUGUGUUUAAGAUAUUGCGUUUGGAGUCCAUUUGUUCCAGAUGUUUAGCCCACCCUAAUACAGAGAGGUUGAGGCAACUGCAGAACAGGGAGACAGACAGCGUCACACACAGUGAGGAAGAGAGAAAAUGAAACAUUUCCUAAUUAAAAUGAACCUAGAAUGUAAGUUCCAAAGGGAUUGUAAAAAUGAAUACUAAAUAAGAAAGCCAAAGGCCAGGCACAGUGACUCAUGCCUAUAAUCCAGCACCUUGGGAGGCCGAGGCAGGUGGAUUGCUUGAGCUCAGGAGUUCAAGACCAGCCUGGGCAACAUAGUGAAGACCCUGUGUCUACAAAACUUUAAAAAAAUUAGCUGGGUGUGGUGGCCUGUGCCUACAGUCCCAGCUACUUGGAAGACUGAGGCAAGAGGAUCAGCUGAGCCCAGGAGGUCAAGGCUGCCAAUGAACCAUGAUUUCGCCACUGCACUCCAGCAUGAAUGAUAGAGGGAGACCCUGUCUCAAAAUAUAAAAUAAAUAAGAAAGCCAAUACUGUGAACAAUGGGAACAUGAAUUAUUAAAGUUGAAUUUUAUAUUGUAGAACAUGAGUAUGAUUUUAAAAUUAUGUUUAGAACCAGGCCAUGUGGCUCAUGCCUGUAGUCCCUGCUACUCAGAAGGCUGAGGUGGGAGGAUCCCUUAGGCCCAGGUGUUAGGAGUUCACGGGUACAGUGAGCUAUAAUCAUGCCAGUGCACUCCAGCUUGGGUGACAGAGUGACUCUGAUUUAAAAAAAAUGGGAAUGGGACUGGGCGCUGUGGCUCACGCCUGUAAUCCCAGCACUUUGGGAGGACGAGGUGGGAGGAUAACCUGAGGUUAGGAGUUCAAGACCAGCCUGGGCAACAUGGUGAAACCCCGUAUCUACUAAAAAUACAAAAAUUAGCUGGGUGUGGUGGCGGGCACCUGUAAUCCCAGCUACUUGGGAGGCUGAGGCAGGAGAAUUACUUGAACCCGGGAGGUGGAGGUUGCAGUGAGCCGAGAUCACCAUUGCACUCCAGCCUGGGUGACAAUAGUGAAACUCCAUCUACAAAAAAAAAAAGGAAAAAAGUCACCGAGAUUGCCAACCCACUGAAUCAAAAGAAGCAAUAAAUCUUGGUUGUUUUUUACUGUUACAUUUUGGGGUGGGUCUUUAAACAGCAACGGAUAAGAAAAUAUAGCAGAUGAUCGUGGGGUGGGAGCAGGGGACAGCAUAGAACAUAUUAGACAGAAAACCUAAGGGUAUAUUUCAUAUACAUAUUGACAAAAAAAUGCCAAACUCUGGAAAGUAUUAAAAGAGAUUUAUUCUGAGCUAAAUGCAAGGGCCAUGACCCAUGAGGCAGCCUCAGGAGGUCCUGAGAACAUGGGCCCAAGGUGGUUGGGUUACAGCUUUGGUUUAUAUAUUUUAAGGAGACAUAAGACAUCAAUCAGUGCAUGUGAGGUAUACAUUGGUUCCAUCUGGAAAGGCGCGACAACUCAAAGCGGGGGCUUACAGGGCAUAGGUGGACUCAGAUUUUCUUUUCUUUUUUUUUUUUUUUUGAGACAGAAUCUCACUCUGUUGCCCACGCUGGAGUGCAGUGGCAUGAUCUCGACUCACUGCAACCUCCACCUCCCAGGUUCAAGCAAUUCUCUGCCUCAGCCUCCUGAGCAGAUGGGAUUACAGGCCUGUGCCACCAUGCCCGGAUAAGUUUUGUAUUUUUAGUAGAGACGGGGUUUCACCCUGUUGGUCAGGUUGGUCUCAAACUCCUGACCUCGUGAUCCACCUGCCUCAGCCUCCCAAAGUGCUGGGAUUACAGGUGUGAGCCACUGUGCCUGGCCAGUUUUUCAGGUUUCUUUGGCAUCCUCUUGGCCAAGGGGGAAGGGUCUAUUCAGUUGGUUGGGGGUGCUUAAGAGUCACUUUUGGUUUACAUACCGUAUCAAUGGCUGUGUAAUUGUCAGGGGCGUGUGAACCAGAGCAACUCCAUCUUGAAUAGGAGCUGGGUAAAAUGAGGCUGAAACCUACUGGGAUGCAUUCCCAGAUGACUGAGGCAUUCUAAGUCACAGGAUGAUGUAGGCGGUCAGCACAAAAUACAGGUCAUAAACACCUUGCUGAUAAAACAGCUUGCGGUAAAGAAGCCGGCCAUAGCCAGGCGUGGUGGCUCAUGCCUGUAAUCCCAGCACUUUGGGAGGUGGGUGGAUCAUGA
RNAcentral lists this long non-coding RNA (4401 nucleotides) under Homo sapiens (human). RNAcentral describes it as "non-protein coding lnc-SHANK2-1:8". The record is from RNAcentral. Lineage: Eukaryota; Metazoa; Chordata; Mammalia; Primates; Hominidae.